This 253-nucleotide ribosomal RNA is filed under the name uncultured bacterium. RNAcentral describes it as "partial 16S ribosomal RNA". It matches the Rfam family "Bacterial small subunit ribosomal RNA", at positions 524 to 776 of the family's 1533-position model. The record is from RNAcentral.
UACAGAGGGGGCAAGCGUUAUUCGGAAUUAUUGGGCGUAAAGGGCGCGUAGGCGGCCAUGCGUGUCUUCCGUGAAAUCCCUCGGCUUAGCUGAGGACGUGCGGAAGAAACUGCAAGGCUCGAGUCCGGGAGAGGGGGGUGGAAUUCCCAGUGUAGCGGUGAAAUGCGUAGAUAUUGGGAGGAACACCGGUGGCGAAGGCGGCCCCCUGGACCGGUACUGACGCUGAGGCGCGAAAGCGUGGGUAGCAAACGGG